Molecule: ribosomal RNA, 353 nt
Filed under: uncultured Ceratobasidiaceae
Lineage: Eukaryota; Fungi; Basidiomycota; Agaricomycetes; Cantharellales; Ceratobasidiaceae
Description: eukaryotic LSU rRNA
Rfam family: Eukaryotic large subunit ribosomal RNA (bases 298-353)
Source: RNAcentral
GUGAGUCAUCGAAUCUUUGAACGCAUAUUGCGCCCUUUGGCAUUCCUCGGAGCAUGCCUGUUUGAGUAUUAUGAAAUCCUCAAAAUAAAUCUUUUGUUCGUUCGAUCGAUUUUAUUUUGGACUUGGAGGUCUGCAGAUUCACGUCUGCUCCUCUUAAAUUCAUUAGCUGGAUCUCCGUGGACUCGGUUCCACUCGGCGUGAUAAGUAUCACUCGCUGAGGACACUGUAAAAAGGUGGCCGGGGUUGUGGAAGAACCGCUUCCAAUAGUCCAUUGACUUGGACAAUUUAUUUAUGAUCUGAUCUCAAAUCAGGUAGGACUACCCGCUGAACUUAAGCAUAUCAAUAAGCGGAGG